GAUGAACGCUAGCUACAGGCUUAACACAUGCAAGUCGAGCGACCGGCGCACGGGUGAGUAAUACGUCUCCAACCUGCCUUUUAGUCGGGGAUAGCCUUUCGCAAGAAAGAUUAAUACCUGAUGUAAAGGUUGGGGAUGCGUUCAAUUAGGUUGUUGGUGAGGUAACGGCUCACCAAGCCUUCGAUGGAUAGUGGUUCUGAGAGGAAGAUCCACCAGAUUGGAGCAGAGGACCGGUCCAAACACCGACGGUAGGCAGCAGAGAGGAACAUUGGUCAAUGGGCGUUGGCCUGAACCAGCCAAGUAGCGUAAAGGUUGAAUGCUUAUGAGACGAAAACUACUGUUAUAGAAGAAUAUGUAUUAUAUGAAGAAGGAUCGGCUAACUCCGUGCCAGCCGCCGCGGUAAUAC
Molecule: ribosomal RNA, 406 nt
Filed under: uncultured bacterium
Lineage: Bacteria
Description: partial 16S ribosomal RNA
Rfam family: Bacterial small subunit ribosomal RNA
Source: RNAcentral